GAUGAAGAACGUAGCGAAAUGCGAUAAGUAAUGUGAAUUGCAGAAUUCAGUGAAUCAUCGAAUCUUUGAACGCACAUUGCGCCCCUUGGUAUCCCGAGGGGCAUGCCUGUUCGAGCGUCAUUUCACCACUCAAGCCUGGCUUGGUGUUGGGCGACGUCCCCUUUGGGGACGCGCCUCGAAACGCUCGGCGGCGUGGCACCGGCUUUAAGCGUAGCAGAAUCUUUCGCUUUGGAAGUCGGGGCCCCGUCUGCCGGAAGACCUACUCGCAAGGUUGACCUCGGAUCAGGCAGGGAUACCCGCUGAACUUAAGCAUAUCAAUAAGCGGAGCA
This 329-nucleotide unclassified non-coding RNA is filed under the name soil metagenome. Its description in RNAcentral is "partial contains 5.8S ribosomal RNA, internal transcribed spacer 2, and large subunit ribosomal RNA". The stretch from base 1 to 120 matches the Rfam family "5.8S ribosomal RNA", at positions 35 to 154 of the family's 154-position model. The record is from RNAcentral.